RNAcentral lists this ribosomal RNA (253 nucleotides) under uncultured bacterium. RNAcentral's name for it is "partial 16S ribosomal RNA". It matches the Rfam family "Bacterial small subunit ribosomal RNA", at positions 524 to 776 of the family's 1533-position model. The record is from RNAcentral.
UACAGAGAUGGCAAGCGUUGUUCGGAAUCACUGGGCGUAAAGGGCACGUAGGCGGUCUAGCAAGUCGGGUGUGAAAGCCCCUGGCUCAAACAGGGAACUGCGCCCGAAACUACAAGACUUGAGGAUGGAAGGGGAGAGUGGAACUUCUGGUGGAGCGGUGAAAUGCGUAGAUAUCAGAAGGAACGCCGGUGGCGAAAGCGACUCUCUGGUCUAUCCCUGACGCUGAGGUGCGAAAGCUAGGGGAGCAAACGGG